Non-coding RNA from Turdus rufiventris (rufous-bellied thrush), 94 nucleotides. The record is from the annotation of a GenBank genome assembly. NCBI's taxonomy places the organism in Eukaryota, Metazoa, Chordata, Aves, Passeriformes, Turdidae.
GGUUGGAUAGGGCUUGGAGCAGCCUGGGAUAGUAGAAGUGUCCCUGCCAUGGCAGGGGGUGGAAGGAGAUGAGGUUUGAGGUCUUUUCCAAGCC